UGAAGCGAAGCUCUGAAAAUACGUUUAAUGUCAAAACUUCUCAAGUUGUCUUAUAACCUGUUGUAGUCUUAUACAAAUAAUACAAACAAGAAAUGUAUUAAUUUACAGUCAAACAAGAUUUAAUUUCUCUCUUUACUGGUGUUGAGAUUAUUUCUGCUCCUCUGUCACUUUAUUGCUUAUUCACAGCUUUUUUCAUUGAAAUGACACAUCUGUGUCACAUAUAUGUUUUUAUCAGAAUUUAAAAUUUAAUUAAAAAUUAAAAAUAAAAAGAUAGCCAGGAUCACAUGUGUGUCCUGUUGUCUCGGGUAUUUUUUUUCAUAAAACAUGCGCUGGUGCAGAGCGAGCUUCUGGAAACCCAUAAAACCCUGAGGAGCAGUGGGUGCAUUGUUUAUGGUUUGUUUAAGAGCCCCUGUCUCAUACACAUUAAAUGAAAUGAGACAUAAUCCAUACACCUACAAAAUUAACUCAAUUUCAUAUGUUAGAUGAUAACUUUUUUCUCCUAUUUUUUUUUAUAUUUUGAGAUGCCAUAAACAUUGAAAGUUAAAUGUCUUAAAAUUUAAAAAAAAAAAAAAAAAAAAAGAAAAAGAAAUAUCUACAGCAACAAACAGAAACUCAAACUAUUGACUUAUGUUUCCAAAAUAACCUAAAGCUGCUGAUGCCUCAGACGAAAGAGGGGGACGUCUUACACCUCUCUCUCUCCCUCUCCCUCUCUCUCUCUCUCUCUCUCUCUCUCUCUCUCUCUCUCUCUCUCUCUCUCCCUCUCUCUAAAACAAAGACGCUUUGUCAUAAACAGGGUUAUUUUACCAAAAGGAGUCAAGGGGGCAACAUAUGUGGUCUUAACGGGUCAUAGGUCAAACACCCAUGAAACACAAGGUCACGGAAGCCACACAAGUAACCUUCCAGUGUGUCAACAUAUUGAUAUUGUCAGAUAACAGAGAGGAGAAAUGUGCCUUUGGCCCCAUUACAACACACAUCCAGGCAACGCGCCUUUAUAUCAUCAAGACCAUUGACUUUACUGAUAAUCUUAUAUGAAACUGGUACUUCCUGUCAGCUCUAACUGCACGGAUCACCACCUGAGUAAUAUUUUAUGUGAUUUAUAUUUUACAUCUGUAGGCCAUGUCUCAUUGUGGACUGCUGCUCCUAAAACCUGUUGAAAUACUGGUCUUUGGGGGAUUUUCAAUAGACUAGACCCCCUUUCUUCCCCACACAGAAGGGAAAACCCGCAGCCAUGUGCCUCUACCCGAUUGAUUUUUUUUUUCUUUUUAAUUCUCUUUCGCUUUUUUCCCUAUCUGGGGAAGGUUUUGUGGUUUUCCAGAGAAAUAAAGAACUUCUUAUAGGGGUCGGCAGACGUGACUUUGAACUUGGAUCAGCUCCUGCGUUUCCUGUGGUGCGGGUCGAAAUAGACUUGGAAGAAUGGCACACAACGCUCAGCCUGUCCCACUCCGAGCUAAGAGACACACUAUUUCUAAAAAAAAAAAAAAAAGAAAAAAAAAGUUUUUUAAACGUUUCCCUCGCCUUCACCAUUAUUUGUCGUUUACAGUCGGAGCACCGGAGAGUGAGAGAGGCGCAGAGCGGGGAGAGCUGGAGGGAUCUUGAUUUGGUGAAAAUGUUUAUCUAAUGAGACAGAAAUGAAAGAGGACAGGGAUCAAACCAGUUGCAGUCCCCAUGAUGCAGACUCUUAUUCACCAAAUAAUUGGGACAGCACUGAAAGAAGAGGACACAAUGGUCGCAGGUUUGCAGUCAGCUUAGUGGAGACCUGCACAUCCACAUUCUGCAGACCCAAGUCAUCAUGCCCACAUUUUCAGGAGGUUUGUCGGGAUCAUGGCUUGACAGGAUAAUCAUCAAGAGCUGCUGCCGAGGCUGGGGAGGCUUCAGCCCAGUGCCUCCCAGCUCCCAACGCCUGGGAUUCCCCUGGGAAGCAGCUGACUGGCACCCAGACUGCCAGCCAGAUGAUGGAUCCUACCAGGAGAAUCAGACGUGACAGGGGGAGGUGAGGCUGCAGGAGUCGCCACCACUGAACCUGAGGACGAGGGGCAGAUGCGGUCAGCUGCCUCAGCUCUGUGUGUGCAUACGUGUGUGUGUGCCUGUGUGUGACUCUUUGCAUGCAGAUAUGUUAUAUGUUAGCAUCUGUGUAGAUGCAUGCGUUUGAAUGCCCAGCCCAUGUCUGUGGGUGGUUAUUUUGGCACAUGUAGUUUUUUUUUUCACUCUAGUCACAUUCUCCAUCUGGACCUGAAGUAUUUCGUUAGCUGAAGAAUGUUACAUUUUAUUUUGAAAGCUGACAAAAUAUCAGCAGUGUUCGACUUUUAAUGUUUGUCAUGUCUGCUAUCGGACCUUCCAAAAACUGUGACAGAUGCCAAAUGACACAUGUUGAGGUUGAGCAUACGAAUCCAGUUGAAAAGAGACAAGUUAAAUGACAUGAAGAUUUUUACAUCAGAUCCUGAAUCUCCUUUCACAUAACUGCUAUCCACACAUGGAUCCAUUAUAUCUCUAAUGUAAAAUUUGUAAGUUUUAAUUAUUAAACAAUAAAAAAUAAAAAAAACAUGUUUAAAACCUUUUA
This is an RNA transcript of Seriola aureovittata, 2557 nucleotides long. RefSeq lists it as uncharacterized. NCBI's taxonomy places the organism in Eukaryota, Metazoa, Chordata, Actinopteri, Carangiformes, Carangidae. The transcript is spliced from 6 exons. The record is from RefSeq and is a predicted model, not a curated record.